UCAAUAAGCGGAGGAAAAGAAACUACCAAGGAUUCCCCUAGUAACGGCGAGUGAAGCGGGAAGAGCUCAAAUUUGUAAUCUGACGGUCCACGGCCGUCCGAGUUGUAAUCUGGAGAAGCGUUUUCGAGCGCCGGCCCGCGUACAAGUCCCCUGGAACGGGGCGUCGCAGAGGGUGAGAAUCCCGUCUCUGACGCGGUUCGGCCGGCGCGUUGCGAUGCGCUCUCGAAGAGUCGAGUUGUUUGGGAAUGCAGCUCAAAACGGGUGGUAAAUUCCAUCUAAAGCUAAAUACAGGCGAAAGACCGAUAGCGAACAAGUACCGUGAGGGAAAGAUGAAAAGCACUUUGGAAAGAGAGUCAAACAGUACGUGAAAUUGUUGAAAGGGAAACGCUUGAAGUCAGUCGCGUCUGCCGGGACUCAGUCGGGCUCCGCGAGGAGCGUGACGUAUUUCCCGCGUCCGGACGGGCCAGCGUCGAUUUCGACCGUCGUAGAAGCCGUCGGGAACGUGGCACCUCCGGGUGCGUUAUAGCCUGGCGGUAGGAUACGCGACGGACGGGAUCGAGGGAAGCAGCGCGCCCCUCCCAGGAGGGCCGGGUUCGCCCACGUAACGCGCUUAGAUGCUGGCUUAA
RNAcentral lists this ribosomal RNA (626 nucleotides) under Mutinus elegans. Its description in RNAcentral is "eukaryotic LSU rRNA". It matches the Rfam family "Eukaryotic large subunit ribosomal RNA", at positions 43 to 634 of the family's 3401-position model. Lineage: Eukaryota; Fungi; Basidiomycota; Agaricomycetes; Phallales; Phallaceae. The record is from RNAcentral.